GGGUAAUGGCCUACCAAGGCAACGAUGCAUAGCCGACCUGAGAGGGUGAUCGGCCACACUGGGACUGAGACACGGCCCAGACUCCUACGGGAGGCAGCAGUAGGGAAUCUUCCGCAAUGGACGAAAGGCUGACGGAGCAACGCCGCGUGUAUGAAGAAGGUUUUCGGAUCGUAAAGUACUGUUGUUAGAGAAGAACAAGGAUAAGAGUAACUGCUUGUCCCUUGACGGUAUCUAACCAGAAAGCCACGGCUAACU
RNAcentral lists this ribosomal RNA (255 nucleotides) under Listeria monocytogenes. RNAcentral's name for it is "partial 16S ribosomal RNA". It matches the Rfam family "Bacterial small subunit ribosomal RNA", at positions 255 to 502 of the family's 1533-position model. Lineage: Bacteria; Bacillati; Bacillota; Bacilli; Caryophanales; Listeriaceae. The record is from RNAcentral.